Molecule: ribosomal RNA, 811 nt
Filed under: Enterococcus faecalis
Lineage: Bacteria; Bacillati; Bacillota; Bacilli; Lactobacillales; Enterococcaceae
Description: bacterial SSU rRNA
Rfam family: Bacterial small subunit ribosomal RNA
Source: RNAcentral
UAUUAUGAGAGUUUGAUCCUGGCUCAGGACGAACGCUGGCGGCGUGCCUAAUACAUGCAAGUCGAACGCUUCUUUCCUCCCGAGUGCUUGCACUCAAUUGGAAAGAGGAGUGGCGGACGGGUGAGUAACACGUGGGUAACCUACCCAUCAGAGGGGGAUAACACUUGGAAACAGGUGCUAAUACCGCAUAACAGUUUAUGCCGCAUGGCAUAAGAGUGAAAGGCGCUUUCGGGUGUCGCUGAUGGAUGGACCCGCGGUGCAUUAGCUAGUUGGUGAGGUAACGGCUCACCAAGGCCACGAUGCAUAGCCGACCUGAGAGGGUGAUCGGCCACACUGGGACUGAGACACGGCCCAGACUCCUACGGGAGGCAGCAGUAGGGAAUCUUCGGCAAUGGACGAAAGUCUGACCGAGCAACGCCGCGUGAGUGAAGAAGGUUUUCGGAUCGUAAAACUCUGUUGUUAGAGAAGAACAAGGACGUUAGUAACUGAACGUCCCCUGACGGUAUCUAACCAGAAAGCCACGGCUAACUACGUGCCAGCAGCCGCGGUAAUACGUAGGUGGCAAGCGUUGUCCGGAUUUAUUGGGCGUAAAGCGAGCGCAGGCGGUUUCUUAAGUCUGAUGUGAAAGCCCCCGGCUCAACCGGGGAGGGUCAUUGGAAACUGGGAGACUUGAGUGCAGAAGAGGAGAGUGGAAUUCCAUGUGUAGCGGUGAAAUGCGUAGAUAUAUGGAGGAACACCAGUGGCGAAGGCGGCUCUCUGGUCUGUAACUGACGCUGAGGCUCGAAAGCGUGGGGAGCAAACAGGAUUAGAU